This 71-nucleotide transfer RNA is filed under the name Schistocephalus solidus. It matches the Rfam family "tRNA". From Rfam's summary of the family: Transfer RNA (tRNA) molecules are approximately 80 nucleotides in length. Their secondary structure includes four short double-helical elements and three loops (D, anti-codon, and T loops). Lineage: Eukaryota; Metazoa; Platyhelminthes; Cestoda; Diphyllobothriidea; Diphyllobothriidae. The record is from Rfam by way of RNAcentral.
GAGUCGGUGUUUUAGUGGUAGAAUGCUCGCCUGCCAGGCGGGUUGCCCCGUUUCGAUUCCCGGCUGGCUCA